Molecule: ribosomal RNA, 253 nt
Filed under: uncultured bacterium
Lineage: Bacteria
Description: partial 16S ribosomal RNA
Rfam family: Bacterial small subunit ribosomal RNA
Source: RNAcentral
UACGAAGGGGGCUAGCGUUGUUCGGAAUUACUGGGCGUAAAGCGCACGUAGGUGGCGACGUAAGUCGGGUGUGAAAGCCCCGGGCUCAACCUGGGAAUUGCAUUCGAGACUGCAUUGCUGGAGUACGGAAGAGGAGGGCGGAAUUCCCGGUGUAGCGGUGAAAUGCGUAGAUAUCGGGAGGAACAUUAGUGGCGAAGGCGGCCCUCUGGUCCAGUACUGACACUCAAGUGCGAAAGCGUGGGGAGCAAACAGG